GCACUUAGUUCACUUGGUUAGAGGAUGGUGCUGAUAAUGCCAAGGUCAUGGGUUCGAUCCCCUUAUGGGUGCG
This 73-nucleotide transfer RNA is filed under the name Podarcis lilfordi (Lilford's wall lizard). RNAcentral's name for it is "tRNA.Ile". Lineage: Eukaryota; Metazoa; Chordata; Lepidosauria; Squamata; Lacertidae. The record is from RNAcentral.